Molecule: transfer RNA, 71 nt
Filed under: Amborella trichopoda
Lineage: Eukaryota; Viridiplantae; Streptophyta; Magnoliopsida; Amborellales; Amborellaceae
Description: tRNA-Val
Rfam family: tRNA
About the family: Transfer RNA (tRNA) molecules are approximately 80 nucleotides in length. Their secondary structure includes four short double-helical elements and three loops (D, anti-codon, and T loops). Further hydrogen bonds mediate the characteristic L-shaped molecular structure. tRNAs have two regions of fundamental functional importance: the anti-codon, which is responsible for specific mRNA codon recognition, and the 3' end, to which the tRNAs corresponding amino acid is attached (by aminoacyl-tRNA synthetases). tRNAs cope with the degeneracy of the genetic code in two manners: having more than one tRNA (with a specific anti-codon) for a particular amino acid; and 'wobble' base-pairing, i.e. permitting non-standard base-pairing at the 3rd anti-codon position.
Source: RNAcentral
GGAUUUGUAGCUCAUUGGUUGAGCGCUCGAAGCACAUUUGAGAGGUGGUGGUUCGAAUCCGCCCUAAUCCG